UGCCUGCUUGCUUGUUGUCUCGACCUCAACUGGAGCCAUCCUCAUCCACUGAACCCAAGCCGCCAUUCUUCCUGCUAACUGCCGCCGCCGUGUUUUGCCGUCGUCACCAUAGCACGCCGCCCACACUCUCUAUCGAGAACCAGCAGCUCCGCCAUCCUCUUGCGACGCGAUAGCGUCCACUCAAGCAUGCUCAACCCUCUCCAAUUCCCUGGCCGGCUCUCUUCUUCCCCGGAGUCGGCAGAAACGUCGCCGCAACCUCGCCACCAUGGCCAGCCCUCCUCCAUGCUUCUCCACCACUUCUGAGCAGCUUGACGAAGUCGUGGUGAGUCCCUGAUGCUCCCCAACUCUUCCCCUCGCCUCCAACGAACGUCAACAGGCCUUUCGUCCAAUAUCCUCUGCUCUGGAUUCGCGACCAGGGACUUCGCGCAACAAUUU
This 435-nucleotide long non-coding RNA is filed under the name Sorghum bicolor (sorghum). RNAcentral describes it as "long non-coding RNA (SBIC_LNC000576)". Lineage: Eukaryota; Viridiplantae; Streptophyta; Magnoliopsida; Poales; Poaceae. The record is from RNAcentral.